UACAGAGGUCCCAAGCGUUGUUCGGAUUUAUUGGGCGUAAAGGGUGCGUAGGCGGCGGAGUAAGUUGGGUGUGAAAUCCCGGGGCUCAACCUCGGAAUUGCAUUCAAUACUGCUUCGCUAGAGUACUGGAGAGGAGGCUGGAAUUUACGGUGUAGCAGUGAAAUGCGUAGAUAUGUAAUAGAACACCGAUUGCGAAGGCAGUUCACUAAGGUUGUAUUGACACUGAGGCACGAAAGCGUGGGGAGCAAACAGG
This 253-nucleotide ribosomal RNA is filed under the name uncultured bacterium. Its description in RNAcentral is "partial 16S ribosomal RNA". It matches the Rfam family "Bacterial small subunit ribosomal RNA", at positions 524 to 776 of the family's 1533-position model. The record is from RNAcentral.